CUUGAAUAUGGGAUGGACACAGCUUCAGUUGCCCUCUGGAUAGCCUUUAAAAGGAUGUGCCCAUCACAGUAUUUUUGGAUUUCUCAGCAGCCUUCAACAGCAUUGGCCUGGUAUCCCUCUUGACCAACAGGGAGGGGUUCAGAAUUAGAACACUCAUUGAGUGACCAUUCAAAGUUAUGGUGGCAUUGAACAAGGACUUGUAAUGGGUUCUCAUAUUGCAGCUGUCACAACAUCCCAUAAUCACAUGGGGUGCUUGGCAACUGGCUUGCAAUUAUAAAUCACAGUCUUCUCCAGCCAGAUUUGUGACCUUCACUGCGGGCUUCUAAUGAGCAAUGAGGAAACCAGCAGGAGAUUAUAAAUGGUAAUCUCUUGACUGGGGGAAUUCUGUGACUGCUCAGAAUUUGCCUGAUGACAGAAACUGGGAUUGCUGCAACUACUAUCAUAAGUAGUUGGUGCAUGAAGUGAUAACAUGCCUUAUAACUACGUUGCUUAGCAGAUGAGUUUACAGUUCCAAUUAUUGCUAAGCAAGGACUAUCUAUACUUCUGCUCUUACUUCAAUGGACAGUUCCACUCGAGCACCACUCCUGAAAGAGCAGGUCUAUACUCUGGGAUCCAGCUACUGCUCGAUGGUCAGAUGGAAGUUGGAGUCAGAGGACCUUUCUGCAGCAACGGCUGGUAUACAAGCUGCAGGCAUCCCUGAAGUACAAAGACCUCCUAAUGGUUAAUUCACACUGUCAUCAUCACCUGUCCAGAUUACUACAAUGUGCUUAAUAUGACACCGGCUUUGAAGAACACUCAGAAAUUUAAACUGCUCCAGAAUCCAGGUGUUGGUUGCUACAAGACAAUAUGAGGAUUUUCUUUUAUCUGUUCAUUAUGAAUAUUUUACUGUGAGAAACCUUAAACAGAGCAAAAUAUCAAAACCAACAACAAACGGUGACCUCAGCUAAAGCUCCACCAAUCAUCUGCCAGUCCAAGCACUCUCAUUUGCAUGCUGAUAUCUUAUUGGCAGCUGUGGUGCUAAAUGGAAUGAAGAAGGCGGAGCGAGGAAGACACCCUGUUGGACUUCUUUGCAACCUGCAUAUUCAUAAAGUACUGAAUUUAUGCAAUUUUAUACACUUCAAUUAAAAAACAUCCCCACCUUAUUUGCAAAUUAUUUUUAAAAACUUGGCAAAGAGAAACAUUUUAGUGAUUUCUGAAAACACCCAAUAAGACUGAGCUCAGGUGGAUCUCUUUAGGUAAAAAGUCCCAUGAAGUCAUAAUAGAUAAAAUCCUAUGAACAAGAUAUAAAUGCAUCAAAUG
Molecule: long non-coding RNA, 1299 nt
Organism: Ahaetulla prasina
Lineage: Eukaryota; Metazoa; Chordata; Lepidosauria; Squamata; Colubridae
Exons: 3
Source: RefSeq, a predicted model, not a curated record